AAAUAAAAUACGACAGUGUUACCCCUUAUGUUUUUUUCAUGACGACCAUAAAAAACAACAGUGUUACCCCUUAUGGUUUUUUUUUCAUGACGACCAAAGAAAAAUGACAGUGUCACCCCUCAUGUUUCAUUUGAUAAAAACAACAGUGUUACCCCUUAUGUUUUUUUCAUGACGACCAAUAAAAAACAACAUUGUUACCCCUUAUGUUUUUUUCAUGACGACCAAUAAAAAAACGACAGUGUCACCCCUCAUGUUUCAUUUGAUAAAAACGACAGUGUUACCCCCUAUGUUUUAACUGAUAAAUAUCGACUGUGUUACCCCUUAUGUUUUUUUCACGACGACCAAUAAA
RNAcentral lists this long non-coding RNA (349 nucleotides) under Gadus morhua (Atlantic cod). Its description in RNAcentral is "lncRNA (ENSGMOG00000031438.1)". The record is from RNAcentral. Lineage: Eukaryota; Metazoa; Chordata; Actinopteri; Gadiformes; Gadidae.